RNAcentral lists this ribosomal RNA (301 nucleotides) under uncultured bacterium. Its description in RNAcentral is "partial 16S ribosomal RNA". It matches the Rfam family "Bacterial small subunit ribosomal RNA", at positions 509 to 807 of the family's 1533-position model. The record is from RNAcentral.
CAGUCGCCGCGGGAAUACGUAGGGUGCAAGCGUUAAUCGGAAUUACUGGGAGUAAAGCGUGCGCAGGCGGUUAUAUAAGACAGAUGUGAAAUCCCCGGGCUCAACCUGGGAACUGCAUUUGUGACUGUAUAGCUAGAGUACGGCAGAGGGGGAUGGAAUUCCGCGUGUAGCAGUGAAAUGCGUAGAUAUGCGGAGGAACACCGAUGGCGAAGGCAAUCCCCUGGGCCUGUACUGACGCUCAUGCACGAAAGCGUGGGGAGCAAACAGGAUUAGAUACCCGUGUAGUCCCUGUCUCUUAUAC